AGUGAACGCUGGCGGUAGGCCUAACACAUGCAAGUCGAACGGCAGCACAGUAAGAGCUUGCUCUUACGGGUGGCGAGUGGCGGACGGGUGAGGAAUACAUCGGAAUCUACUUUUUCGUGGGGGAUAACGUAGGGAAACUUACGCUACUACCGCAUACGACCUACGGGUGAAAGCAGGGGAUCUUCGGACCUUGCGCGAUUGAAUGAGCUGAUGUCGGAUUAGCUAGUUGGCGGGGUAAAGGCCCACCAAGGCAACGAUCCGUAGCUGGUCUGAGAGGAUGAUCAGCCACACUGGAACUGAGACACGGUCCAGACUCCUACGGGAGGCAGCAGUAGGGAAUAUUGGACAAUGGGCGCAAGCCUGAUCCAGCCAUGCCGCGUGAGUGAAGAAGGCCUUCGGGUUGUAAAGCCCUUUUGUUGGGAAAGAAAAGCAGCAGGUUAAUACCCCGCUGUUCUGACGGUACCCAAAGAAUAAGCACCGGCUAACUUCGUG
RNAcentral lists this ribosomal RNA (492 nucleotides) under uncultured bacterium. Its description in RNAcentral is "partial 16S ribosomal RNA". It matches the Rfam family "Bacterial small subunit ribosomal RNA", at positions 29 to 507 of the family's 1533-position model. The record is from RNAcentral.